CCUGGCCAAAUAAAAGCAAGGAAUCCCGAAGGAGCCGCCUCUCGCUUCCCCACACACCCCCUCCCGGAUCCCUGAUUGCUAAAUCUUUGCGGGCGGGUUUGCAUUUCAAUGGAUGGGAUAAAGAGGGAUCUUUGCAGCCCGUUCCUGUGCAAGUUAUCCUUUCUGCACCUCAGGCCAGAGGACCGUCUCCAGCUUGGCACUUUCCAAAUCGAUUGGCAUUCCUAACUCUAAGGAAUUCUAGGAGUAUAAUUGCCAGAGCAGAAGAGAAUAUGCAAGAGAAACGUCCAUAGCAAGGUGAAGUGCACUGCAUGUAACAAAGUGCAAUACAAAAGGUGCUUUUUUCUUUCAGCGGGAUCCAACUGUCAACUUUGAAACUGACCCCUGCUACUGCAGCCAUCUUUAUAUUUCUCAGCUUGCCACACUGGGAGUGGGGGGGAGAGGCUUGGAAUGUCACACCAGACAAUAACAGAUCAUCCCGUGGGAACCAAAGACAUCCCCAUUGGUGCUGGCCAGAGAUUGGAAGGAGUUACCCGGAAGACACCAGAACACCUAAUUGGACAAUGUGACCUGUGACAAGGAGGGAGGGGAAUAUCUAUUCUUUAAUUAUAUGAAAACCACAGGAAUUAUUUAGAGUUGGUUUUGCUUUCAUGCAUGCCAAAAUGAUGUAAUCAAUAAAACAGAUCUUAAAAGAGAUCUAAUAAGAGUGCAGAGAAGAGCAACCAAGAUGAUUAGGGGACUGGAGGCUAAAACAUACAUGAAUGGUUGCAGGAACUGGGCAUGGAUAGUCUAGUGAAAAGAAGGACCAGGGGAGACAUGAUAGCAGUGUUCCAAUAUUUGAGGGGCUUACACAGAGAGGAAGUGGUCAAGCUAUUUUCCAAAGCCUCUGAAGGCCAGACAAAGAAUAAUGGAUGGAAAUUGAACAAGGAGAGAUUCAACCUAGAAAUAAGGAGAGAUUUUCUGACAAUGAGAGCAAUCAACCAAUGGAACAGCUUGCCUUCAGAAAUUGUGGGAAUGUCAUCACUGGAAGCUUUCAAAAAAAGACUGGACUGCCAUCUGUCAGAAAUGGUGUAGAGUCUCCUUGGGUGGGAGGUUAGACUAGAUGACCUACAAGGUCUCUUCCAACUCUGUUAAUCUGUUAGGCUUGGUUGGGUUUGUCAGUUGGAACCUUGACAGAUGUCUUCAAAUAGAAGGACUGUCCUCUAAAGCAGAACAUGUAGCCUUUCUACUUGAUAAACUUCAUGUGGAAAAAAGUCCAUUCCUGUUGCUUGAUAGAGUUCAUAUGGGAAGAGAGUCCAUUCCUGAUGCUAAGGAAUUUUGUGUUCUCUUGUUCCAACAAGCACUGAAUCCCGCACUGUCCUUGAUCUCAGGAGAAUGAGGCAGACAAGAAUGCUAAAUCCUAACUGUACAGAGCAAGAAUUAUAGGUCUAAUAAUACCACUAUUGUGACAGACAUGGGAGGCUCCUUUGGGCCUGGAAGAAUUCCUCAGAGAAAACAGCCUCAGAAUCCCAUUCUCAAUGUAUCUGACUAGCUAAAAAAGAAGCUGUUUCAUAUCAGACCACAAACUGUUUUUUUUUUCUAAUUUAGGAACUGUGGGGAGAGAAGAACAUGUUAGCACCUUUUUAUCUCCCCGUUUUUUCAUCUCCAAAAGCUGAAUCCAUGAAAGGAAGAAACAAUAAAAGUGUGUGUUGUUGGAAGUGAGCUAUUCUUGAUUGACAAAUUAGGGGCUCAAUGGAACUAAUUAAAUCUGACCUUGGGCCUCUUCUGGAAAAUAAGAAUAUUAGAGCCUUCUUCCCAUGCUGUUAAAAUACUUUGAUUCCUCCAUUGAUCAACUGAAUGUGCUUUGCUUCUCUUCUUCAGGCAGUAAUGACUCAGUUUGGAAUCACAGAUAUUUUUCUACUAAUGAAGAACUUUAGCAUGAGGUCAUCAGGAAAGGUAGGGAGCAAUUCCUGUUAAAAGAGGACUGCAGACUCCAGUGAUAGCAAUGGAUGAAAAUUUGUUUGCCUGCAAAUACUAUUUUUACCUUCUUAUACUUUUGUUCAUUCGUCUAAAAUUGUGUGAUAUUUAAAAUGAACAAGAAAAAAAUUGAUCAAAUAUGAUUUCAACAUAAUUUCAAAUUGUCUUUGGAUUUGGGAUCCUAAAGGGAUUAUCUGAUAUCAAUUCCUCAAACACUUAAUAGUUAAUAAAGUUAUUCAGGCACAAUUCUUAACAGAAUUCCUAAACCCUUUUCUUCAAUGCUACGUACAUACAAACACAAGGUGGGUUCACAAUCUGCGCUAAGAAUAACGUGGGUGGCCAUGGUUGUAGCAUAAAUCACAAGUAGUUGGGUUUACAUAUCACGCUAAGCAAAAACGAUUUAAUAUUUAUUUAACCAUAAAGAUUGGGUUAAUUCCACAUGCAAAGCCACAAACACUGUAAGCCCCAUAAUGACUCAAUGUGUCAAGUAGAUCAUCAGAAUUUGUUGAAGCUCGUCUAUCAUGUCAGUGGCCACUAAUGAAUCAUCAGAACAGUUAUUUAACGUUUGUAGGGCCAUACAUUUUCCUUGCUUUAAAUAACUGGUAAAUAGAAUUAUAGUAAAUAGAAUCUAAGUCCCGAUGAACUAUAACAUAGACAAAUUACAAAAAAGCCUUUGGUUAUGUCAGUUUCUCCCUAUCUGGUAUUCCCUGAUGGGAUUACAGCUCUCAGAAUUCCAGGAAUUGUUGGCUCAAAAUAUCUGAGGGCAUCAGGUUGCGGGAACCUGUAAUAUCCUAAAGAUUCCAUUACAAAGGGAUAUAAAAUGAACUCAAUAUGUGCCACUGUUUUCCACCAUGACCUAAUGAGGAAAUCAGUAGCCAACUGCAUAUCUUCCAUUUUAAAGAUCUCAAGGUCAAUACUUGCCAUCUCUGUUUAAGGUACCCCAAAUAAUAUGGCUGGCAUGAUCUGUCUGAUAGCCUAUGAGGCUCUUAAAGCACUACCUAUUAAGAAACUAUUG
Long non-coding RNA from Pantherophis guttatus, 2968 nucleotides. RefSeq lists it as uncharacterized. NCBI's taxonomy places the organism in Eukaryota, Metazoa, Chordata, Lepidosauria, Squamata, Colubridae. The record is from RefSeq and is a predicted model, not a curated record.